GAAAGCCGUAUGAGGGAAAACCUCACGUACGGUUUGAUGAGGAGGGGCUGAAAAAAAACUUCAGCCCUUUACUCUAGU
RNAcentral lists this non-coding RNA (78 nucleotides) under Paenibacillus uliginis N3/975. The record is from RNAcentral. Lineage: Bacteria; Bacillati; Bacillota; Bacilli; Caryophanales; Paenibacillaceae.